Telopea speciosissima is the source of this 130-nucleotide long non-coding RNA. RefSeq lists it as uncharacterized. Lineage: Eukaryota; Viridiplantae; Streptophyta; Magnoliopsida; Proteales; Proteaceae. The record is from RefSeq and is a predicted model, not a curated record. The transcript is spliced from 3 exons.
UUUAAAAUUCUAGACGAUAUAACUACUUUACAAUUCUAAACUAGCCCACGAUCUUGAAGAAAAGCUUGAUCUCUGUCUUGAGGUAGCCCCAAGGCCCUGCUUCAAGAAGACUGCACAUCCCAAAGGUAGC